Danio rerio (zebrafish) is the source of this 119-nucleotide ribosomal RNA. The record is from Ensembl. NCBI's taxonomy places the organism in Eukaryota, Metazoa, Chordata, Actinopteri, Cypriniformes, Danionidae.
UGCCACAGCCAUAUCAUCCUACUGCCCAGGACCGGUUACUCACUGAAGCUAAGCAGGGCUGAGCCUGGUCAGUACCUCGACAGGAGGAGACCACACGGGAAACAAGGUUGCUGUUGAAA